UCGGGUAGCUGCAUUGGCCCACAUGUACUGUACGUACGGCAUGAGAAGGGCGGGUCCAUCACUGCCAGUGCUGGUAUGGUAUGUGAUGGGUUGCUCGUGUUUUCCAGCAGGACACGUAGGCUCUCGGCCAAGAACGGGAAAUUUCACCUUCUAUAUGAAAUGACACAGUGGAAGCCAACUUUUACAAUUAGAGGGUAGAGGACCUGCUGGGUCGGGCAACAAGAAGUAUGUGCAACAUCAAGUUGGUGGAUGGAUGUCUAGGUUACCAAGUACACCAUAUCGUGACGGUUACCAGCAAGGGUCAGGUGCAGUCACUGCUAGGUCAGAUUCACACAAUAGCGCUGAACCACCAACUGCAACAAGCGGCCCUUGCACAGUCACAGCGUCUUUCGGCUGAACCUGAGCGGCUAUUACUGAUAGGCCAGCUUCGUACAAGUGGGCCACCAACUGCAAAGAGCGGCCCUUGCGCAGUUACAGUGCUUCUGGCUGAAGCUGGGUGGCAGCAACUGUCUGACCAAGGAAUUUGGUGGGGUUGUUUUGCGGCCCUGCCCACACUCCCCUAACAAGAACAGGAUGAGUCAUCUAGUCCCUAACCCAGUCCCCAACAGUGGGUGCAGUGCCAAAAACCCAUUGAGCUGACACUGGGCGUCACGUGUGAGAUGAUCUACCAGUCUUUUGGAGCCACGUCAUGGUUGGAGCGCACUUGAACCUUCUUUGAAGGCUACUGACUAGGAUCCUGGCUGCGAGUUUUGGAGCCAUAAUACCCUACGCUGCCCCGACCUCUUACUUUGUAGAGACCCAGACCAGAGCCCCUAUAGAGCUGACAGGCUGACGCUGGAAGCCAUGCUGGAGGAGACUAGUGAUAGGCCUAAGACCAAGCUAGGCAUCCGCAAAUGCAAGAAUGCAUGGGGACAAUCGCCAACAAGUGUGACUGCCAAGGCCGUGCUGGUUUCCAGUAAAGGCUUGCGAAGGAGAUCAAGAGACCACUUGGCUUAGCUCCAGCACCCUCUGCGGCCCUCACCUGGAGACCUCUUACCCAGAGACAUAUAGACUGGAUCAUACAGGUGGAGCUAGAGGGGACCCAUGCUGUAGGGAGCCCACACUGGAGGGGGCCUACGCUGGAGGGAGCCCAGGCUGGAGGGAUCCCACGCUGGAGGGAACCCACACUGGAGGGGACCCACUCUGGGGGGACCCACACUGGAGGGGACCCACGCUGGAGGGAACCCACACUGGAGGGAACCCACGAUGGAGGGGAUCCACGCUGGAGGGGAUCCACACUGGAGGGGACCACAGGCACAAGACCAGGGGAAUGUGGUAACUGUUUACUUCUUUCUUGAAUGUAAAAAUAUAUCCUAGUUCGGUGUUGAUUUGCAUUGUUCAAGUAUUAACAGUGGCGGAUCAGAUGGGCAGAAUGGGAAGUGCAUUCAUCUUGUCUGUUUUCCUUUUUUUUCACUUCACUUGUGAUAUAUUCAAGACAGAAACUUUUCAACCACAUUGAAUAUCAAGUACAAUGUGCCCUGCUUGAAUGUUCAGGUUUGCAUCCUUUAUUGGCACCCCCCUCAUUUCUGUAAAUGUUGGAUCCGCCACUGAAUAACAUAGUAAUAUUUCUUUUAAUAUGUUUUUGGUAUUAAUCAUAUGUUAUGUGACACAGUAUGUCAAAACCAUGCUGUAUUAUCAAAUUUCAGAAAAAAAGUGGUGUUUGUAAGAGCAAAGUCUAUAGAUGUAUCUCUUAUAAGACAUAUUAAGAAAAGUACGUUGUCAUUUGCACAACGCCAUUGUGCACGGUGAGACAAAAUGUUCUGAACACGUGCGCAUGUUACUCAAAUUUUCUGAAUUGAAAAAUUGAAAAAAGGUGCAGCCGAUGAGCGUCAAGAACAUUUGAAUCCAAAAUGCCGAGAUGCAUGUGGCAAUCUGUAGUCGCAUCAUUUGAGAGAGACCUAUAUGUCACUAAUAUUGCAGUAACUGAAAAUUGACUUCUUGCCCAAAUGUGCCUGAAUUUGACAUACCACGUCACAUAUAUAUGCUCUAUCAACUGAUAUUCCUGCCGUAAUUUGUGCAAAUUAAGUUGUUUUGUACAUUAAGGGUAAAAUGUACAUUGGGGAAAAAUGACUUGGUUUUGUGAAUUCAAAAAAAUCUGCUCAUUAAACAGGUACUUGAGAAACGUUUGCUCAUUGGCUAAUGCUAUUUACAAUACCACAAUAU
Patiria miniata (bat star) is the source of this 2202-nucleotide long non-coding RNA. RefSeq lists it as uncharacterized. NCBI's taxonomy places the organism in Eukaryota, Metazoa, Echinodermata, Asteroidea, Valvatida, Asterinidae. The record is from RefSeq and is a predicted model, not a curated record. The transcript is spliced from 4 exons.